AGGGGCAGUGUUCGGCCACUGCUAGUCAAAGACCAAGAGCCCCCCUGUUCCAGAGGCUGGGGAAUAGAACUGUUUUGAGGUCACAACUUGCUACUUACCUAACGAAAAACCUGAAUGACAGCCCAGCAGUGCUCCUGCACAACCCACCAACACCAACAUUCUGCUUGUUCCACCAGGUUAAUAUCUCCAGCCCUUAGCUGUCUUCAUCCCUUUCUGCUGUGCUAACUCCAGUUUACUUGUGUAUGUCCUGGGGGAGGUACCACCAGACACAGGGUGAUGGACGUGGUCAAACAAGAGCUGAGUACUCCCACUGCUCCAGGAGGUGGGAUCUUUCCUCAUUUCCAGUGACAUUUAAGAGUCUUCCAAGGAAAGAUCUUUGUUCAAGACCAUGGAUGGGGUUCAAAAACUUUUGGAUUUGAACUUCGGGAUUUGAACUUCAGCCUGAACUUCAGGAUUUGUCACUUCUGGGUUACUGCACACAGAUAGGGUGUGGACACUUCCUCCUCCUCUGUUUUGCUAAUCCAGCCUUCUGUUUCUGCUUUUCCUGUGUUUGUAUAAAAAUACCCCAAAGCAAAGAUAUUAAAUUUUGAUCAAAUCAGUAA
Anas platyrhynchos (mallard) is the source of this 602-nucleotide long non-coding RNA. RefSeq lists it as uncharacterized. Lineage: Eukaryota; Metazoa; Chordata; Aves; Anseriformes; Anatidae. The record is from RefSeq and is a predicted model, not a curated record.